AAUAGAUACCCCAGGUAGUCCACGCCGUAAACGAUGAGUGCUAAGUGUUAGGGGGGUUUCCGCCCCUUAGUGCUGCAGCUAACGCAUUAAGCACUCCGCCUGGGGAGUACGGUCGCAAGACUGAAACUCAAAGGAAUUGACGGGGGGCCCGCACAAGCGGUGGAGCAUGUGGUUUAAUUCGAAGCAACGCGAAGAACCUUACCAGGUCUUGACAUCCCAUUGACCACUAUGGAGACAUAGUUUUCCCUUCGGGGACAACGGUGACAGGUGGUGCAUGGUUGUCGUCAGCUCGUGUCGUGAGAUGUUGGGUUAAGUCCCGCAACGAGCGCAACCCUUGUUCUUAGUUGCCAUCAUUUAGUUGGGCACUCUAAGGAGACUGCCGGUGACAAACCGGGAGGAAGGUGGGGAUGACGUCAAAUCAUCAUGCCCCUUAUGACCUGGGCUACACACGUGCUACAAUGGACGGUACAAACGGUUGCCAACCCGCGAGGGGGAGCUAAUCCGGAUAAAACCGUUCUCAGUUCGGAUUGUAGGUCUGCAACUCGCCUACAUGAACG
This 557-nucleotide ribosomal RNA is filed under the name uncultured bacterium. Its description in RNAcentral is "bacterial SSU rRNA". It matches the Rfam family "Bacterial small subunit ribosomal RNA", at positions 777 to 1325 of the family's 1533-position model. The record is from RNAcentral.